GAUGAAGAACGUAGCGAAAUGCGAUACGUAAUGUGAAUUGCAGAAUUCAGUGAAUCAUCGAAUCUUUGAACGCACAUUGCGCCCGCCAGCACUCUGGCGGGCAUGCCUGUUCGAGCGUCAUUUCAACCAUCAAGCCCCCAGGGGCUUGUGCUGGGGCCCUGCGGCUGCCCGCAGGCCCUGAAAACCAGUGGCGGGCUCGCUAGUCACACCGAGCGCAGUAGCACAUCUCGCUCAGGGCGUGCGGCGGGCUCCUGCCGUGAAACCCCCCACUGUAACCCCAAAGGUUGACCUCGGAUCAGGUAGGAAUACCCGCUGAACUUAAGCAUAUCAAUAAGCGGAGGA
Molecule: unclassified non-coding RNA, 342 nt
Filed under: soil metagenome
Description: partial contains 5.8S ribosomal RNA, internal transcribed spacer 2, and large subunit ribosomal RNA
Rfam family: 5.8S ribosomal RNA (bases 1-120)
Source: RNAcentral